Symphalangus syndactylus (siamang) is the source of this 370-nucleotide long non-coding RNA. RefSeq lists it as uncharacterized. NCBI's taxonomy places the organism in Eukaryota, Metazoa, Chordata, Mammalia, Primates, Hylobatidae. The record is from RefSeq and is a predicted model, not a curated record.
GUGGGAUUGCUGGAUGAAAUAGUAGAUCUGCUUUUAGUUAUUUGAGAAAUCUCCAUACUGUUUUCCACAGAGGCUGUACUGAUUUGCAUUCCUACCAGCAGCGUGCACCUAUUCAUUCUUCAAGAUUUAGCUAAUGUGCUUCUUCCUCUGAGCAGGCAAUCUGAGGCUUGUUCACAAGCACCCUUGUUAAAAUUUCAGAGAGAGAGAUAGACAGAGAGAGAGAGAGAGGAUAAGUCUGGGGAGGCAUUAUGUGGAUGUCAGAGAGCUGGGAUAAGAAAAGAGAUGAAGCCUGGGGAAGCCUGCAUCAAGUCAAUGGAAUGAGCCUGGGUGAAGAAAUGGAGGAAUUAUUUGAUAUCAAAGUGUAAAGGGG